CAGCAGCCGCGGUAAUACGUAGGGUGCGAGCGUUAAUCGGAAUUACUGGGCGUAAAGCGUGCGCAGGCGGUUUUGUAAGACAGGCGUGAAAUCCCCGGGCUCAACCUGGGAAUGGCGCUUGUGACUGCAAAGCUAGAGUGCGGCAGAGGGGGAUGGAAUUCCGCGUGUAGCAGUGAAAUGCGUAGAUAUGCGUAGGAACACCGAUGGCGAAGGCAAUCCCCUGGGCCUGCACUGACGCUCAUGCACGAAAGCGUGGGGAGCGAACAGGAUUAGAUACCCCUGUAGUCCCUGUCUCUUAUAC
This 301-nucleotide ribosomal RNA is filed under the name uncultured bacterium. Its description in RNAcentral is "partial 16S ribosomal RNA". It matches the Rfam family "Bacterial small subunit ribosomal RNA", at positions 509 to 807 of the family's 1533-position model. The record is from RNAcentral.